UUGUUAACUCUAAACAUGACUUUUCUGGGCUUCUUUAAAUAAAAAGCCUCCUGCAGAUGUAGGCUGUGUCAGUGUUCUGGUGCACCAAUAGGCCUUAAUGACCAUGACCAGUCUCACCUGGAGCCUCCACCCACACCCUCUGCCCGUGGGCCCAGGGUCUCCAUAUAAGUUCAAGACUGGGCUUUCAGUACCUUUUUGAGCUGUAUCAAGUGUGCCUCUCUAGCUCAGCUGGAUCUGUUGGGUUGCUGUGGAGUUGCUUGGUGAUCACUUGACCUGACCUGUGGAUUGACUUGCUAACUUGGUCUUGAACCUGCUGCAUCACUGCAACCUUUUCAGAUGAUCUGGACUCUUGGUUGACCCCAGCUGCCAUCCACAGACCUGCCUUGCUCACCUCACUGAGAAGCAAGACCUGUCCUUGCAGUGGGUUAGAAUGAUGACUGCAAAAGGAAAGCAGAGCUGAAGACGCUUCUGUCACACUGAUGAUUGUUUCCUUGCAUGCUUUCUAAACACUAGCAAAAGGUUUUUGAAAGGGCAAAUAAGUCAAUUUCAGAAAUAUCAGUGCUGACAACUUAUUUUCUUUCAGAAUCGCUGCCUUUAAAAAAAUUGCCUAAGGAUGCUCUGUGAGAAAAUUAAAUUAAUUUAUUAACGCUGCAGGAUUUACUUGAAAGAAUUCCAAACCUAAACAUGAGCCUCCAAAAUAACAUCUUUCAAACUUUGUCCUGCUUCAAUAAAAGCUGUCAAGUACCAUGAA
Long non-coding RNA from Cygnus olor (mute swan), 751 nucleotides. RefSeq lists it as uncharacterized. Lineage: Eukaryota; Metazoa; Chordata; Aves; Anseriformes; Anatidae. The record is from RefSeq and is a predicted model, not a curated record. The transcript has 2 exons.